GUUCAAGCAGCCGCGGUAAUACAGAGGGGGCAAGCGUUAUUCGGAAUUAUUGGGCGUAAAGGGCGCGUAGGCGGCUUGGCAAGUGGAUGGUGAAAUCCCUCGGCUUAACCGAGGAACUGCCGUCCAAACUGCUUCGCUUGAGACCGGGAGAGGUGAGUGGAAUUCCCAGUGUAGCGGUGAAAUGCGUAGAUAUUGGGAGGAACACCAGUGGCGAAGGCGGCUCACUGGACCGGUACUGACGCUGAUGCGCGAAAGCGUGGGGAGCAAACGGGAUUAGAAACCCGAGUAGUCC
Molecule: ribosomal RNA, 292 nt
Filed under: uncultured bacterium
Lineage: Bacteria
Description: partial 16S ribosomal RNA
Rfam family: Bacterial small subunit ribosomal RNA
Source: RNAcentral